RNAcentral lists this ribosomal RNA (339 nucleotides) under Staphylococcus epidermidis NIHLM067. RNAcentral describes it as "bacterial LSU rRNA". It matches the Rfam family "Bacterial large subunit ribosomal RNA", at positions 2584 to 2925 of the family's 2925-position model. Lineage: Bacteria; Bacillati; Bacillota; Bacilli; Caryophanales; Staphylococcaceae. The record is from RNAcentral.
CCCAUUAAAGCGGUACGCGAGCUGGGUUCAGAACGUCGUGAGACAGUUCGGUCCCUAUCCGUCGUGGGCGUAGGAAAUUUGAGAGGAGCUGUCCUUAGUACGAGAGGACCGGGAUGGACAUACCUCUGGUGUACCAGUUGUCGUGCCAACGGCAUAGCUGGGUAGCUAUGUAUGGACGGGAUAAGUGCUGAAAGCAUCUAAGCAUGAAGCCCCCCUCAAGAUGAGAUUUCCCAACUUCGGUUAUAAGAUCCCUCGAAGAUGACGAGGUUAAUAGGUUCGAGGUGGAAGCGUGGAGACACGUGGAGCUGACGAAUACUAAUCGAUCGAAGACUUAAUCAA